UACGGAGGGUGCAAGCAUUAAUCGGAUUUAUUGGGCGUAAAGGGCGCGUAGGCGGAAAUAUAAGUCAGGUGUGAAAUCCCGGGGCUCAACCCCGGAACGGCAUUUGAAACUAUAUUCCUUGAGGGUAGGCGGAGAAAACGGAAUUCCACAUGUAGCGGUGAAAUGCGUAGAUAUGUGGCAGAACAUCGGUGGCGAAGGCGGUUUUCUAGCUUAUUCCUGACGCUGAGGCGCGAAAGUAAGGGGAUCAAACAGG
Molecule: ribosomal RNA, 253 nt
Filed under: uncultured bacterium
Lineage: Bacteria
Also listed under: 1 other name
Description: partial 16S ribosomal RNA
Rfam family: Bacterial small subunit ribosomal RNA
Source: RNAcentral